GUGAGCCUGCCCACCAGCCAGCUGUCACUCUGAGAGACGUACUUCCUUUCUACCUUCAAUAAAUGGACACUCUCGCCGCCUUUUCAGUGUCUUGACCAAGUCUUUGUGAGGACACCGACCUGGAACGAAGCCCCACAGGACCCUGCACCCAGCACAGGUGCGCCUCGUCCCAACAGCAAGAAAACUAUAAAGUUUGGACAGAAUAUUUCAAGGUUUCUACUUGAAAAGCCGGCACAGCCUAGAGGUCUACACUCAGAGGGAAGGCACUGGGCAACUCUCGCUGUCACGGCUUUAUUCCCAGAGGAGAGCCGAGCUGGAACCACACAGGUAAGCCACAA
RNAcentral lists this long non-coding RNA (338 nucleotides) under Chinchilla lanigera (long-tailed chinchilla). RNAcentral describes it as "lncRNA (ENSCLAG00000023817.1)". Lineage: Eukaryota; Metazoa; Chordata; Mammalia; Rodentia; Chinchillidae. The record is from RNAcentral.